Molecule: long non-coding RNA, 709 nt
Filed under: Equus asinus (donkey)
Lineage: Eukaryota; Metazoa; Chordata; Mammalia; Perissodactyla; Equidae
Description: lncRNA (ENSEASG00005035392.1)
Source: RNAcentral
AUCCUUGUUCUCUGAUAAGUGGAUCACUAGAAAGAGAGAGAGGGCAUGUUCUCAGCUUCCUCUCACCUCGUCCUUUAACUCACACUCCAUCUACAAGCCUGGCCACAGGGCCCAGAGCUGCCCUCCCAACUGAGAGUGACAGAAAGUCUUUUGUCUUCAAAUAGGAGCCAGGAUAAGAGUUGACAGCGGCGGAGAGUAAAGUGGUCCUUAGAAGAGGCAUAAUGAAUGGGAGGCAACCUGAUGGGUGGAAAGAGGCAAAGAAUGGAGACUGAUUCUGGUAACUCUACAUUAAAAUUCUGCGAAUGUUUUCUGCCAUAUUCACUGAAGGAAGAUAUUCAUCUGAGCAGAAAAAUAACAGAUCAUUGCAGUUGUGAAUCUUGUCAAAGGACAAAUGAAAAUAUGUUCAUUUUGGAUAAGAGAUGAGUUACAAAGUGCCUGCUUUUAUUAAAUGUCGUGGGAUCAGGCCAGACCCUGGGGCUGAGUGUUUGGGGCUCUUCUUGCUCUGCUUCAGCAGCCCAGGGUUUGCUGUUCGGAUCCUGGGCACAGACCUCUACUCAUCGGCCAUGCUGUGGAGGCAACCCACCUACAAAACAGAGGAAGACUGGCAUAGAUGUUAUCUCAUGGCUAACCUUCCUCAAGCAAAAAAAAAAAAAAAAAUAUCAUGGGAAAAAAUUAAAUAUCAAUCAGAUUAACAUUAACUGAAAGUUCA